This 513-nucleotide ribosomal RNA is filed under the name uncultured Flavobacterium sp. RNAcentral's name for it is "bacterial SSU rRNA". It matches the Rfam family "Bacterial small subunit ribosomal RNA", at positions 9 to 523 of the family's 1533-position model. Lineage: Bacteria; Pseudomonadati; Bacteroidota; Flavobacteriia; Flavobacteriales; Flavobacteriaceae. The record is from RNAcentral.
GAGUUUGAUCCUGGCUCAGGAUGAACGCUAGCGGCAGGCUUAACACAUGCAAGUCGAGGGGUAUAGGUUUUCGGACCUAGAGACCGGCGCACGGGUGCGUAACGCGUAUGCAAUCUACCUUUUACAGAGGGAUAGCCCAGAGAAAUUUGGAUUAAUACCUCAUAGUAUUAUUGAAUGGCAUCAUUUAAUAAUUAAAGUUCCAACGGUAAAAGAUGAGCAUGCGUCCCAUUAGCUAGAUGGUAAGGUAACGGCUUACCAUGGCGACGAUGGGUAGGGGUCCUGAGAGGGAGAUCCCCCACACUGGUACUGAGACACGGACCAGACUCCUACGGGAGGCAGCAGUGAGGAAUAUUGGUCAAUGGGCGCAAGCCUGAACCAGCCAUGCCGCGUGCGGGAAGACGGCCCUAUGGGUUGUAAACUGCUUUUACACCGGAGAAAACCCCUUCUCGUGAGGAGGGCUGAUAGUAUGGUGAGAAUAAGCAUCGGCUAACUUCGUGCCAGCCGCCGCAGUAA